Molecule: long non-coding RNA, 2488 nt
Filed under: Marmota monax (woodchuck)
Lineage: Eukaryota; Metazoa; Chordata; Mammalia; Rodentia; Sciuridae
Source: RNAcentral
AGAGAAAGCUGAUGUUCUCCUCCUAAGGGCUGGAUUGCCUUCACAUUUCCAUCUUCAACUCUCAGAAAUUGAGUUCCAUGAGAUUAUUGGCUCAGGUAACCUAAGAAACUAUAGUUCUACUUUAAUUAAAAUGAGCUCAAGAUAAUAUGUACUUAUUUAUUUAUUUUAAACAAUUUUAGGAUCUUUUGGGAAAGUAUAUAAAGGACGAUGCAGAAAUAAAAUAGUGGCUAUAAAACAGUAAGCAAAUGAAAAAAAUUACCAUCUAGGUAGAGUAGUGAGCUUUGACAACUAUAUACACAGCAAACCUCUUGUUGGAUUCAUUAAUUGAUGAGAAUUUCCUCUUGCUGCCAUUUCUAGUUAUCGGGCCAACACUUACUGCUCCAAAUCAGAUGUGGAUAUGUUUUGCAGAGAGGUGUCUAUUCUCUGCCAGCUCAAUCAUCCCUGUGUAAUUCACUUUGUGGGUGCUUGCUUGAAUGAUCCCAGCCAAUUUGCCAUCGUCACUCAGUACAUAUCAGGAGGUUCUCUGUUUUCCCUCCUUCAUGAGCAAAAGAGGUAUGAGUCUCUUGUUCUGCCUUAUACUUGAAAAUGGCAUUCAACAUGGCAUUGAAAUUUUCCUGAGGCAUUUCUGAGGCUUUCUGAUUGCAUGAACCUUCACCUUUGGAAACCUCUGAAUACUAGUGAGUGUGCAUUAAAUAUGGCUAAUAAUUUAUGACUAAUUAUUGUAUUUCAAGGAAUAGAAAUAUUUCUGUGACUUAUUAAUAGGAAUUCAGUUGAAGGUAACAAAUUCAAGGAAUUUAAAUUGGCAACUGAAACAUUAUUACGCUAUUUGACAUACCAAUAAAGCAGAUAUAUGUAAACUCAGAAGAAAAUAAUUACCAAGAUCACCAUAUAAGGAAGUUUUAAAAAGAAAUGAUCUUGCACAAGCCUAAUUUGAAUUUAUUUCCUAGAUCUAUACAUACAGUAAUUAGAAUGUGGUUUUGUACAGUUAUUAAAAAUAGAUCUUAACAUUAUUACAAAUAAUUUAAAUAUAUUGCAAAUAAAUUAGAAAAUCAAGUACAAUAUUUUAAAUGAAACGUAUUGUAUACCCGAGUUGACCUAUAAUUAAGCAUUUUCUGAGGUAGAAAGAUUUGUUAAACUUUUUCAUAUAACCUUCAAUUAAUUAAAAAUAGACUAAAAUUACACAGAACAAAACAAAACAUAUAUACCUUGAUUUCUUUUAAAAGAUAUGGCAUUGGUUUUGACUUUUUUUCCUUCCACUGAAUCUGUUUUUAAAUUUUAGGAUUCUUGAUUUGCAGUCUAAAUUAAUUAUUGCAGUAGAUGUUGCCAAAGGUAUGGAAUACCUUCACAACCUGACACAGCCAAUUAUACACCGUGACUUGAACAGGUAUUUUUUUUCCUAAUAAUGAACUUAGAAUUGUCUGACUGACUAGUAGCCUAAGAUAGAUUCAAUAAAGAUACAUUUUAGAUUUACUGCAGAUGAGUAUUUUCUCCCUACUCUGUGAACAAGGAAUUGGGCUAUCAUAAGCCUAGGCAAUAGAAAGUUUUGUCUUUUACCAAAAUAGAAGGCUAUAUAAAAGUGCUUCUCAGGCAUCUUCCAAAUCUAGAAAGAAUUUCCAGAAAGAGUGCUGCUUGUGAGAUGUGCCAACAAACUAUAAUCAUGUGCCUCAUGACAGUGUAUUCAUGAGAGUGGAGCCAAGGUCCCAUAAAAUUAUAAUGGAGCUGAAAAAUUAUUAUAACUCAGUGACAUUGCAGCCAUGGUAAAGUGGUGCACCAUGUUACUCAGGUUUGUGGCAGUACUGAUGUGAAAAACCUAUAAUAUUGCAAGUAUAAAAAAGCAUAGCACAAGUAUAGCACAAUUAUCAUUUUGAUAAUGAUAAUUUAGCAACUACAUUCCUGGUUUAAAUAUUGGUAUUAUACUUUUUAUUAUAAUUUUAAACUACCACUUUGACUUAUUAAAAAAAUUACUGUAAAACAAUAUGGCAUGUUAUGCUGGAGCAGACCUCAUAUAUCUCAUGUUUACUGCAUCUCAUGCAUCAAGAGACCAUAUUUAGUGAUUGACUUAUAUCAUCUAGGUUCAUAUAAGUACACUCUGUGAUGUUUGCCCAAUGACAAAAUCACCCCUAAAAAUCCAUUUCUCAGAACAUAUCCUCAUUCUUAAGCAAACACAUGAUUGUACUUUCCAGGUAAGGAAGAUCAGAUCAAGAAUUAAGCUCAUUGACUCCUAAAGACUGUCUCAUACAAAGUCACUUGUUAGAGGAGGACCCUAUUUGAAGUAAUACUUUGUGCUACUAUUUUGGUAUUUUGGAAUUAGUGAAUUCAGCCAAACUAGAGCAGGUUGUUUACCUAGUUUUCAUGUGAAGAGGCUUUCAUGAGAAAUAGAGACUUGAAACAAAGGUAGAAUCAAAGUGCCCCCAUGGUGGAAACUCAGGGGAUUUCAAAAAGUUUUCUUGGGCUGGGGAUGUGGCUCAAGCUGUAGCGCGCUCACCUG